Molecule: ribosomal RNA, 492 nt
Filed under: uncultured bacterium
Lineage: Bacteria
Description: partial 16S ribosomal RNA
Rfam family: Bacterial small subunit ribosomal RNA
Source: RNAcentral
AGUGAACGCUGGCGGUAGACCUAACACAUGCAAGUCGAACGGCAGCACAGUAAGAGCUUGCUCUUACGGGUGGCGAGUGGCGGACGGGUGAGGAAUACAUCGGAAUCUACUUUUUCGUGGGGGAUAACGUAGGGAAACUUACGCUAAUACCGCAUACGACCUACGGGUGAAAGCAGGGGAUCUUCGGACCUUGCGCGAUUGAAUGAGCCGAUGUCGGAUUAGCUAGUUGGCGGGGUAAAGGCCCACCAAGGCGACGAUCCGUAGCUGGUCUGAGAGGAUGAUCAGCCACACUGGAACUGAGACACGGUCCAGACUCCUACGGGAGGCAGCAGUGGGGAAUAUUGGACAAUGGGUGCAAGCCUGAUCCAGCCAUACCGCGUGGGUGAAGAAGGCCUUCGGGUUGUAAAGCCCUUUUGUUAGGAAAGAAAAGCAGCAGGUUAAUACCCCGCUGUUCUGACGGUACCCAAAGAAUAAGCACCGGCUAACUUCGUG